UAGAUAGAUACUGGUCAGUUAGAGACAGUAGGAUAGAUAGUUACUGGUCAGUUAGAGACAGUAGGAUAGAUAGUGGUCAGUUAGAGACAGUAGGAUAGAUAGAUACUGGUCAGUUAGAGACAGUAGGAUAGAUAGUGGUCAGUUAGAGACAGUAGGAUAGAUACUGGUCAGUUAGAGACAGUAGGAUAGAUACUGGUCAGUUAGAGACAGUAGGAUAGAUAGAUACUGGUCAGUUAGAGACAGUAGGAUAGAUAGAUACUGGUCAGUUAGAGACAGUAGGAUAGAUACUGGUCAGUUAGAGACAGUAGGACAGAUAGAUACUGGUCAGUUAGAGACAGUAGGACAGAUAGAUACUGGUCAGUUAGAGACAGUAGGACAGAUACUGGUCAGUUAGAGACAGUAGGACAGAUAGAUACAGGUCAGUUAGAGACAGUAGG
Molecule: long non-coding RNA, 437 nt
Organism: Oncorhynchus tshawytscha (Chinook salmon)
Lineage: Eukaryota; Metazoa; Chordata; Actinopteri; Salmoniformes; Salmonidae
Source: Ensembl